GCUAAAUUUGCCUCAAUUGUUUGUCUCUUGCCUUCAGCUUCCCUCAAGUUAGCUUCCGCUAUUUCAAGAGUU
Molecule: transfer RNA, 72 nt
Filed under: Prunus dulcis (almond)
Lineage: Eukaryota; Viridiplantae; Streptophyta; Magnoliopsida; Rosales; Rosaceae
Description: tRNA-Met
Source: RNAcentral